Molecule: long non-coding RNA, 424 nt
Organism: Chrysoperla carnea
Lineage: Eukaryota; Metazoa; Arthropoda; Insecta; Neuroptera; Chrysopidae
Exons: 2
Source: RefSeq, a predicted model, not a curated record
GUGGAAAAUAAAUAUUAAAAAAUUUCAUGUCAACGAAGAAAACUGAUACAAGUUUGAAAAUUUUUUUAUUUUGAUUUUGUUUGUUUUUGUGUGAUUUAAAUAAAAAAAAAAGUGUUUACUUCGAAUUUUUGUGGAAUAAUUCUACUACAACAAUUCAAUUCAAAGUUAAAGAAGAAUAAUUAAACGUGAUUGGUUUUUGAUUUCUUAAACAAAAUCUCAUUGGCUUUGACGAGACCGGUUUCAAAAAAAUUUAACAAAAAGUUUUUUGUGUGUUUCAAAACAAAGCCAGCCACAAUACCAGCUUUUGCUUUGUAUACAAAAACAUAAUAUCACCCCAGCUAUAUCUAUCUUUUUCUGAACAACCACAAGACAUGCGCUAAAAGUAAUUUGUGAUCUCUCUCACACCAAUAUAAUAUUACACAAU